RNAcentral lists this ribosomal RNA (467 nucleotides) under uncultured bacterium. RNAcentral describes it as "partial 16S ribosomal RNA". It matches the Rfam family "Bacterial small subunit ribosomal RNA", at positions 28 to 507 of the family's 1533-position model. The record is from RNAcentral.
GACGAACGCUGGCGGCGUGCUUAACACAUGCAAGUCGAACGGAAAGGCUCCAGCUUGCUGGAGUACUCGAGUGGCGAACGGGUGAGUAACACGUGGGUAAUCUGCCCUGCACUCUGGGAUAAGCCUGGGAAACUGGGUCUAAUACUGGAUAUGACCUUUCUCCUUAUGGGGUUUGGUGGAAAGUUUUUCGGUGUAGGAUGAGCCCGCGGCCUAUCAGCUUGUUGGUGGGGUGAUGGCCUACCAAGGCGACGACGGGUAGCCGGCCUGAGAGGGUGAUCGGCCACAUUGGGACUGUGAUACGGCCCAGACUCCUACGGGAGGCAGCAGUGGGGAAUAUUGCACAAUGGGCGGAAGCCUGAUGCAGCGACGCCGCGUGAGGGAUGACGGCCUUCGGGUUGUAAACCUCUUUCAGCAGGGACGAAGCGUAAGUGACGGUACCUGCAGAAGAAGCACCGGCUAACUACGUG